Molecule: long non-coding RNA, 247 nt
Filed under: Sus scrofa (pig)
Lineage: Eukaryota; Metazoa; Chordata; Mammalia; Artiodactyla; Suidae
Description: lncRNA (ENSSSCG00055023139.1)
Source: RNAcentral
GAAGAAACGACCCAAGGUUGUGCCAAGUGCCCGGAGGCGGAGGAGGCAGGGGGCGUCUUCGUGGAGAGACUGGGAAGGAUUUCUCCGACGUGUGGGGUGACUGAAGUCAGUACGAAGCCGACCUGACGUUCCCCCUGCCUGGUUUAAGGUGGUUACUCUGGAUCUUGGAAUAGGAAGCAGGCUUCCUUCUGGGAGGGGAGCCUGGCUCGGGAAGCCCCGCAGACCCAGCCCACCUGACCUCACGUCU